AGAGUUUGAUCCUGGCUCAGGAUGAAUGCUGGCGGCGUACCUAACACAUGCAAGUCGAGCGGCAGCGCGAGUAGUUUACUACUUGGCGGCGAGCGGCGGACGGCUGAGUAACGCGUGGGAAUGUACCCCAAAGUGAGGAAUAACUGCUCGAAAGGGUAGCUAAUACCGCAUAUGGUCUUCGGAUUAAAGCCUUCGGGCGCUUUGGGAACAGCCCGCGUACGAUUAGAUAGUUGGUGGGGUAAAGGCUCACCAAGUCGACGAUCGUUAGCUGGUCUGAGAGGAUGACCAGCCAGACUGGAACUGAGACACGGUCCAGACUCCUACGGGAGGCAGCAGUGGGGAAUCUUCCACAAUGGGCGAAAGCCUGAUGGAGUAACGCCGCGUGCAGGAUGAAGGCCUUCGGGUUGUAAACUGCUUUUAUAAGUGAAGAGUAUGACGGUAACUUAUGAAUAAGCACCGGCUAACUACGUGCCAGCAGCCGCGGUCAUACGUAGGGUGCAAGCAUUAUCCGGAGUGACUGGGCGUAAAGAGUUGCGUAGGUGGUUCUGUAAGCGAAUAGUGAAAUUUGGUGGCUUAACCAUUCAAGCUAUUGUUCGAACUGCAGGACUUGAGAAUAGUAGAGGUAAUUGGAAUUUCUAGUGUAGGGGUGAUAUCCGUAGAUAUUAGAAGGAACACCAAUGGCGUANGCAGAUUACUGGACUAUUUCUGACACUAAGGCACGAAAGCGUGGGGAGCAAACCGGAUUAGAUGCCCGGGUAGUCCACGCCGUAAACGAUGGAUACUAGCUGUUGGAGGUAUCGACCCCUUCAGUANCAAAGCUAACGCGUU
RNAcentral lists this ribosomal RNA (828 nucleotides) under uncultured bacterium. RNAcentral describes it as "bacterial SSU rRNA". It matches the Rfam family "Bacterial small subunit ribosomal RNA", at positions 8 to 861 of the family's 1533-position model. The record is from RNAcentral.